GGAAACUGCCUGAUGGAGGGGGAUAACUACUGGAAACGGUGGCUAAUACCGCAUAACGUCGCAAGACCAAAGAGGGGGACCUUCGGGCCUCUUGCCAUCAGAUGUGCCCAGAUGGGAUUAGCUAGUUGGUGAGGUAACGGCUCACCAAGGCGACGAUCCCUAGCUGGUCUGAGAGGAUGACCAGCCACACUGGAACUGAGACACGGUCCAGACUCCUACGGGAGGCAGCAUGGGGGAAUAUUGCACAAUGGGCGCAAGCCUGAUGCAGCCAUGCCGCGGGUAUGAAGAAGGCCUUCGGGUUGUAAAGUACUUUAAGCCGGGAGGAAGGUGUUGUGGUUAAUAACCGCA
This 348-nucleotide ribosomal RNA is filed under the name Salmonella enterica subsp. arizonae. Its description in RNAcentral is "bacterial SSU rRNA". It matches the Rfam family "Bacterial small subunit ribosomal RNA", at positions 121 to 471 of the family's 1533-position model. Lineage: Bacteria; Pseudomonadati; Pseudomonadota; Gammaproteobacteria; Enterobacterales; Enterobacteriaceae. The record is from RNAcentral.